Molecule: ribosomal RNA, 392 nt
Filed under: uncultured bacterium
Lineage: Bacteria
Description: partial 16S ribosomal RNA
Rfam family: Bacterial small subunit ribosomal RNA
Source: RNAcentral
AUACGUAGGAUCCGAGCGUUAUCCGGAUUUAUUGGGUUUAAAGGGUGCGCAGGCGGCCAUUUAAGUCAGCGGUUAAAUCGUGGGGCUCAACCCCAUUCUGCCGUUGAUACUGGGUGGCUUGAUUGCGGUCGAGGUUGGCGGAAUUCGUUGUGUAGCGGUGAAAUGCAUAGAUAUGACGAAGAACACCGAUUGCGUAGGCAGCUGACCAGACCGCAAAUGACGCUCAUGCACGAAAGUGCGGGGAUCGAACAGGAUUAGAUACCCUGGUAGUCCGCACAGUAAACGAUGAAUACUUGUUUUCGGCGAUAUAAUGUCGGAGGCAAAGCGAAAGCGAUAAGUAUUCCACCUGGGGAGUACGCCGGCAACGGUGAAACUCAAAUGAAUUGACGGGG